AAUUUUGGACAAUGGGGGAAACCCUGAUCCAGCCAUCCCGCGUGUAUGAUGAAGGCCUUCGGGUUGUAAAGUACUUUUGGCAGAGAAGAAAAGGUACAUCCUAAUACGAGGUAGUGCUGACGGUACCUACAGAAUAAGCACCGGCUAACUACGUGCCAGCAGCCGCGGUAAUACGUAGGGUGCAAGCGUUAAUCGGAAUUACUGGGCGUAAAGCGUGUGUAGGUGGUUCGGUAAGUAAGAUGUGAAAUCCCAGGGCUCAACCUGGGAACUGCAUUUUUAACUGCCGAGCUAGAGUAUGGCAGAGGGUGGUAGAAUUCCACGUGUAGCAGUGAAAUGCGUAGAUAUGUGGAGGAAUACCGAUGGCGAAGGCAGCCCCCUGGGAUGAUACUGACGCUCAGACACGAAAGCGUGGGGAGCAAAC
RNAcentral lists this ribosomal RNA (421 nucleotides) under uncultured bacterium. Its description in RNAcentral is "partial 16S ribosomal RNA". It matches the Rfam family "Bacterial small subunit ribosomal RNA", at positions 360 to 773 of the family's 1533-position model. The record is from RNAcentral.